This 934-nucleotide ribosomal RNA is filed under the name methanogenic bacterium enrichment culture clone Me_c27. RNAcentral's name for it is "bacterial SSU rRNA". It matches the Rfam family "Bacterial small subunit ribosomal RNA", at positions 567 to 1503 of the family's 1533-position model. The record is from RNAcentral.
GUGCGUAGGUGGAUAUUUGAGUCAGAUGUGAAAUCCCUGGGCUCAACCCAGGACCUGCAUUUGAAACUGGAUGUCUAGAGUGCGGGAGAGGUAAGUGGAAUUCCUAGUGUAGCGGUGAAAUGCGUAGAGAUUAGGAAGAACACCAGUGGCGAAGGCGACUUACUGGACCGUAACUGACACUGAGGCACGAAAGCGUGGGUAGCAAACAGGAUUAGAUACCCUGGUAGUCCACGCCGUAAACGAUGAGUACUAGGUGUAGGGGGUAUCGACUCCCCCUGUGCCGCAGUUAACACAAUAAGUACUCCGCCUGGGAAGUACGAUCGCAAGAUUAAAACUCAAAGGAAUUGACGGGGGCCCGCACAAGCAGCGGAGCAUGUGGUUUAAUUCGAAGCAACGCGAAGAACCUUACCUAGACUUGACAUCCCCUGCAUUACUCGUAACUGAGGAAGUCCUUCGGGACAGGGAGACAGGUGGUGCAUGGUUGUCGUCAGCUCGUGUCGUGAGAUGUUAGGUUAAGUCCUGCAACGAGCGCAACCCUUAUCAUUAGUUGCUACCAUUCAGUUGAGCACUCUAGUGAGACUGCCCGGGUUAACCGGGAGGAAGGUGGGGAUGACGUCAAAUCAUCAUGCCCCUUAUGCUUAGGGCUACACACGUGCUACAAUGGGUGGUACAGAGGGCAGCCAAGUCGUGAGGCGGAGCUAAUCCCUUAAAGCCAUUCUCAGUUCGGAUUGCAGGCUGAAACUCGCCUGCAUGAAGCUGGAGUUACUAGUAAUCGCAGAUCAGAAUGCUGCGGUGAAUGCGUUCCCGGGUCUUGUACACACCGCCCGUCACACCACGGAAGUUGGGGGCGCCCGAAGCCAGAUAGCUAACCUUUUGGAAGCGUCUGUCGAAGGUGAAAUCAAUAACUGGGGUGAAGUCGUAACAAGGUAGCCGU